This 429-nucleotide ribosomal RNA is filed under the name Pseudomonadota bacterium. RNAcentral describes it as "Proteobacteria bacterium partial 16S ribosomal RNA". It matches the Rfam family "Bacterial small subunit ribosomal RNA", at positions 355 to 776 of the family's 1533-position model. The record is from RNAcentral. Lineage: Bacteria; Pseudomonadati; Pseudomonadota.
UGGGGAAUAUUGGACAAUGGGCGAAAGCCUGAUCCAGCCAUGCCGCGUGUGUGAAGAAGGUCUUCGGAUUGUAAAGCACUUUAAGUUGGGAGGAAGGGCAGUAAGCGAAUACCUUGCUGUUUUGACGUUACCGACAGAAUAAGCACCGGCUAACUCUGUGCCAGCAGCCGCGGUAAUACAGAGGGUGCAAGCGUUAAUCGGAAUUACUGGGCGUAAAGCGCGCGUAGGUGGUUCGUUAAGUUGAAUGUGAAAGCCCCGGGCUCAACCUGGGAACUGCAUCCAAAACUGGCGAGCUAGAGUACGGCAGAGGGUGGUGGAAUUUCCUGUGUAGCGGUGAAAUGCGUAGAUAUAGGAAGGAACACCAGUGGCGAAGGCGACCACCUGGGCUCAUACUGACACUGAGGUGCGAAAGCGUGGGGAGCAAACAGG